CAGCCACAGACCACAGAAUUCUAUUUUCUCUUGGCCACAGAGACUCAAACUGAAGCAUUUCUCACAUCUCCUUGUCAAGACUCAAGAUUGAGAGCUUAUCAUUCAGCCUCAGAACUUGACGGGAGACAGAAUACAACUAUAAUUUCAUGGCGAACCCAAACCCCAGAAGUGACUGCUCAGACUCAGAGAAGUCUCAUAUGAAAAUAAAUUCCCCAGAGAGCCUCUCAAGGGGUGAUCUCCCUAAUUCCCACACCUUUCACCAAAAGACCAAAACCCCCUUCAGAGGUUACAUCUGUCGCCGGGAGACGACAACCUUCUAUGAAGGAUGUGUUGUGGGUUCUUCAAUCAACAACCUCCCCCCUGUGGAAGAACCAGAGGACACACAAAGUCUAGGAAGAUACAUGGGCCACAACUCUCGCACUAAGGACAACCCCAACCUGGUGUGUGCACCAAAUACUGGCGUUGAAGAGGAUGAGGACACAGACUCAGACAGCAAAGGAGCAGGAGCUGAUCAAAUUGUUACUGACAAUGACCAGCAGAUAAACAAGAAUUCAACAUUCAGGGGGCAACGGAUUGACCACGUGGCUGGCUGGCCAGUAAUUCAGCCUGUCAGUCCUAAACUCACUCAGGAACAAGCAGCAGAAGAGAGGAACAAGGAGGAGAGAAAGGAGGAAAGCAAAAGCAGUGAGGAUGAGGAUAAGGAAGCUGAUAAACAAAUUGAAAAUGGUGAAAACCAAGAUGAAGGCUUGCUAAUGGGAUCAACUGAACAAGAAAAAAAGGACGUGGAGAUCAAGAACAACAAAGACAUGGAGAGUAAUAAAAAAGAGUAUGUGGAGCUUUAUGCACAAAUCCAGGUGUAUGAAAGAUCUGAUGACACCAGGCUACCUGAUUCCACUGAGGACAAGGGAAAACAGAACAGUGAGAGUCACAAGGAGAAGGAAGAAAUACAAAUCAAUGAAGAGCCUCAGGACGCUGAUAAACAAAGCCAUGGCUAUGACAAAGACGAUGCCCUCCAGCUCCGAGAUCCACCUGAGGAAAACUUCCAGCUGGGCAGCAGAUCCCCUCCUCAUCCAGCUCAGGUCCUGUGUGAAGAACAGUGUACAUGUGAGGACCUGCCUGCCUGUAAACCACUAGGAAAUACAGAAGUCACCCAAGUCCCAGAGAUGCCAGCGAUGCUCCCAGAAGAUGAACCUGCUGAGAUGCUGAAGAUCAGCACUGAGUGGUCCUCCUCGGUCUCCUCUGGGGAGUCAGAGGAGGACGACACUGGAUCUGACACACAAACCAUAACCUGUGUGAAUUGGAGGCAGGCCUUCCGCCGGCUCCGGAAAAGAGUCCUCACGUGUCUGGGGAGGAGAGUGAUGGUCAGCAGCCCACCAGCAACCCCAACCAAGAAAAGUCUUCCCACCUCCAAGGAAACCCACCCCAAAAGAACCCUCAGAGAUUUAUUCCCCACACCCCGUCCACUAAGCACACUAAGUGGUGUGAUGUUGGCCCCAC
This 1497-nucleotide long non-coding RNA is filed under the name Heterocephalus glaber (naked mole-rat). RNAcentral describes it as "lncRNA (ENSHGLG00100038970.1)". Lineage: Eukaryota; Metazoa; Chordata; Mammalia; Rodentia; Bathyergidae. The record is from RNAcentral.